Molecule: ribosomal RNA, 436 nt
Filed under: uncultured eukaryote
Lineage: Eukaryota
Description: bacterial SSU rRNA
Rfam family: Eukaryotic small subunit ribosomal RNA
Source: RNAcentral
GAUCAACUCCUCGUCGGUACGAUCAGCGUCGGCAAUAUCAUUUUUUGGUAAAUCUCUGGCUGCUCAUUCAUUUGGGCAGUUAUAAAAGGCGCCUGGGGGUCAAACCUUGGGUGUCGGGGUUACCAAUCUUUUACUGUGAAGAAACUUGAGUGUUCAAAGCAAGCAUUCUAUGCCUGAAAAUUCAGCAUGGGAUAAUGAAAUAGGCUUACGCGUCUAUUUUUGCCGGUUUUCGGACUUUUUUGCGUGAGAAUGGUCGAUAGGGGCGGUCGGGGACACUCGUACCCAGCGGUCAGAGGUGAAAUUCUUGGAUUCGCGGGAGACGAACUUAUGCGAAAGCGUUUGUCAAGGACGCUUUUACUUUGAUCAAGAACGAAGUUAGGGGAUCGAAGACGAUCAGAUACCGUCGUAGUCUUACCUUAAACGAUGCCGACUGUAG